CCUUUCUCAAACUGCAUCCAAAGCAACCCAGUGCCCUGUGCUUGUUGUACCCAGAGGUAUCGGUGCCAGGAGUUGUUGCUGUGUUUGCAAUGCCAUUGUGUCGGCAGGGUGACGUUAAUGGGCUGCAAUGCCCUCAGUCAUUCAAAGCAUCCUUGCAGAUGUUCCUAGUGAGGGGCAUGUUUCAUGGACACCAUAGGUUGUUUUCUGGAAAAUGAGAGAGUGGGCUUGCGUACCUCCAGAUGGUUUUCAUUUCCUGCUGAGCCCAGUGCACUUCACGUCUGCUGGCAUUGCCCCACGGCCCUGUUGUGGUUUAAGCCGGUGGGUGGCUCAGCACCACACAGUCCUUUGCUUACUGCCCCCUUCCCAGUGGGAUGGGGGAGAGAAUUAUGGGGGGAAAAAAAAAGAAGGUGGAACUAAUGCGUUGAGAGAAAUUUCUUUCCAAAGGUAGAGAAAAGGAAGGACCGAAGUAAUAUAUAUGUCUAUUUACGAAUGUAUGUAACAAGUGAUGUAGAAGCGGUGGCUCAGCACCUCCCAACCAAUGGCCAAGCAGAGGAAGAGAGUGAGAUGAACUCCCACCCCCUUCAAAACCCCUUCCACUUGAUGUCAUAUGGUAUGGAAUAUCCCUUUGGCUCGUUGACGGCAGCUGUCCUAAUUUGGUUUCCUCCCAGCUCCUUCUUGAGAGCUUUGCUGAGAACGGCCUUGGCUCUGUACGAGUCUGCUUCUCAGAAACUCUAAACGUCAGAGUGUUAUUACAGUUGUAGCAUCAUAGCAGACACUGAAGAAAAAUCGAUCGCACCUGAGACUAAGACAGCCCCCCAGUGUCUGUGCAGCGAGCCAUGUGGGGCUGCAGGUCGUGCAUUUCCCUGGCAGCAUUGGCCAGGGGUGCUGGGGAGGUUUGUGUGCUCAGCUUGGGCAUGGCGCUGCUGUGCCUGUCGACACAGCAUGCUCCGUGCUCUUCAAGCAGCAGAAGAGCGUUUCAUGAACAACGGGCCGUAAUAUUUACUGGAACCAGAUGCAUUUGUGUCUCUGAGGCUGGGUUUACCCAACAGGCUCUUCUCGAAGGAGCCGUUCUGAUUUCCUUUGUACGUGUGUGAGCAGAAGUGCUUUUCCCCCUUGUGUUCUGUCCCACUGUCUGUUGGUUUCCUGUGUGCUGCUUCAUCCCUGGAGCUCGCUGCUGCACAGAAGAGUACAGGCGUGUUUAUCGCCUGUAGGGGAAAAGGGGAGCCUGGUUGGCGUAGCAGUGAGCAGCAGCUAACGGGCUGUGCAGAGGAGGGCUUUGCAGAAGGAGCAGGAGUGCCUGCGUCCAUGUGUAUCCUGGGAUACGUUCUGGCAGUGAGGCACCAGCUGUGGCCACAGGGACUGAAUGCAGACUUGGCUUGGGGCUGCCAUGUGGCGCUUCCUACCCCUACCGUCCUGUAUAUGCCUGGCAAAGCACAGCCACCCUGCAGCCAUGGCAAGCGUUUGUCUUAGUGUCAUGUUUCAUGCUGUCUUGCGAAGCUCAGGCACUGGGGGCAGCUUCCCCCCAAGAAAGGGAGGAGAAAAUGAG
RNAcentral lists this long non-coding RNA (1546 nucleotides) under Gallus gallus (chicken). RNAcentral describes it as "lncRNA (ENSGALG00010019442.1)". The record is from RNAcentral. Lineage: Eukaryota; Metazoa; Chordata; Aves; Galliformes; Phasianidae.